This is a long non-coding RNA of Sorghum bicolor (sorghum), 760 nucleotides long. RefSeq lists it as uncharacterized. The transcript is spliced from 3 exons. The record is from RefSeq and is a predicted model, not a curated record. Lineage: Eukaryota; Viridiplantae; Streptophyta; Magnoliopsida; Poales; Poaceae.
AUUACCUCAUGUAGCUAUUUAUGUAUGUAUAUGACAUCAUUAUAUGUCCAAACAUGGUGCUUAUUGUUGCCUUUGCUACUGCAGGCCACAAGAGUGAAAACAACUUGGCCAAAAAACCAAAAGGGAUAAAGAAAUUUAUUUGGGUGGAAAAACCAAAGGGAUUGGAACACUGCAAGGAAAAACCAAAUUUGGAUGAAUUGUGGGUUAUUGGUUCAGUAUAUGGAGUAGCAGUAUUUUCUCAAAUUUACAGAAUUGUGGUGCUUGAGAGCUAUUGGUUUUCUAUGCCCUGUCAAAGUUAAAGGAAAUAAGGACCUGUUGCACAAGUGUAUGCCAAUUCUGAGCUGAGCUUAUGUGGUGGUGUCUUUGUGAUCGCUAUGGCUAUCACCAUGAGUACCUACAGAGGGAGUCAGGAUUUAGCAGCAAGUUCAUUAUGCUGCAGAUUAACACCAAAGUCACAGAUGGUUUCCACAAGAAGCCAAAGAUCUGUUGUUGCUAGAGCUGAGCCAGAUGUAGGACGAGGACACUAUUGAUCUUCUACAAGCCUAAGCUUGUAAGGCAAGGAUCUUAUUUCUUGCUCUUCGAUGAUGGAUUUUGAUUGCAGUUCUAGCUAGCUAGUAUAUUAGAUUUUUUAUGGAUUUUUAGAUCUGUAGAAAGAGUGUAAUUUGUGGAUUUGACAAAUUUGUGAAACUUGUUAUGAUAGAACUUUUGAAUUUGUAAAUUUGAUGAUGGAACUUGAAUUUGAUGUUUGUGCUGUGAUGUA